GCCCGGCUAGCUCAAUCGGUAGAGCGUGAGACUCUUAUGAGGGUUUCAGGUCUCUGAAACAUCCCUCUUGGGAUCAUCUCAAGGUUGUGGGUUCGACCCCCACGUCGGGCU
Molecule: non-coding RNA, 111 nt
Organism: Cercophora sp. LCS_1
Lineage: Eukaryota; Fungi; Ascomycota; Sordariomycetes; Sordariales; Lasiosphaeriaceae
Source: the annotation of a GenBank genome assembly